Long non-coding RNA from Apteryx haastii (Great spotted kiwi), 553 nucleotides. The record is from Ensembl. Lineage: Eukaryota; Metazoa; Chordata; Aves; Apterygiformes; Apterygidae.
GAGGGCGGGGCGGUGGUGGGGCUGAGGCGGGGAGGGCGGUGGCGGUGGGGGCUGAGGCGGCUUCUGGAAGGUUCUGCAGGCUGCUGCCGGCCAGCGUCUGUGGCGCUGCUCUAGGCAGCUCCUGUGGCGUCCUGGCGCUGGUGCUGACCCUUGCCCAGGAACUUCUGAGGCUCCCUUUACUCCCUGCUGUCUGUGACAUAGAAGCUGCAGAGGAAACUGUCUCAUAAGGGUUUUGUAGGAGCAGAGCCAACGAUUCUUACCCAGGGCCUACGGAAAUCAAAGUCAAAGGAAACUGCUGCCUAGAUAUCAAGGAGUGUGAAUCUGAGACCCAGAUGAUAAGUACAGUGCAUGGAUUGAGUUGAUGAAAAAUGUUUCUCUUUUUUUUCCUACCUUUACAAGUUGAUGACUUCAGUUUCAAGAUUUUUCCUUGUUACAUCAAUAAUUCCUUGGAUUAAAGAAAGAAAGCAACAGCUUCAUGAAGAAGUUGGAGAUUUAUUUUCAUCUAGAAUUAGUGACGUGUCCUUGCAAGCUAGCAGCAUAUUGAUUUUGGAGC